This is a long non-coding RNA of Oncorhynchus keta (chum salmon), 723 nucleotides long. RefSeq lists it as uncharacterized. NCBI's taxonomy places the organism in Eukaryota, Metazoa, Chordata, Actinopteri, Salmoniformes, Salmonidae. The transcript has 4 exons. The record is from RefSeq and is a predicted model, not a curated record.
UUCACCUUUAUUCAACCAGGUCGGCUAGUUGAGAACACCUUUAUUCAACCAGGUCGGCUAGUUGAGAACACCUUUAUUCAACCAGGUCGGCUAGUUGAGAACACCUUUAUUCAACCAGGUCGGCUAGUUGAGAACACCUUUAUUCAACCAGGUCGGCUAGUUGAGAACACCUUUAUUCAACCAGGUCGGCUAGUUGAGAACACCUUUAUUCAACCAGGUCGGCUAGUUGAGAACACCUUUAUUCAACCAGGUCGGCUAGUUGAGAACACCUUUAUUCAACCAGGUCGGCUAGUUGAGAACACCUUUAUUCAACCAGGUCGGCUAGUUGAGAACACCUUUAUUCAACCAGGUCGGCUAGUUGAGAACACCUUUAUUCAACCAGGUCGGCUAGUUGAGAACACCUUUAUUCAACCAGGUCGGCUAGUUGAGAACACCUUUAUUCAACCAGGUCGGCUAGUUGAGAACACCUUUAUUCAACCAGGUCGGCUAGUUGAGAACACCUUUAUUCAACCAGGUCGGCUAGUUGAGAACACCUUUAUUCAACCAGGUCGGCUAGUUGAGAACACCUUUAUUCAACCAGGUCGGCUAGUUGAGAACACCUUUAUUCAACCAGGUCGGCUAGUUGAGAACAAGUUCUCCUUUACAACUGCGACAUGGCCAAGAUAAAGCAAAACAGUGCAACACAAACAACAACACAGAGUUAUACAUGGAAUAAACAAACAU